AUUUUGCUGGUAGAGAUGCCAUCUGGAGACCGCAGCGCUCCUCUUUCCUCGGCCUAGGCUGCUGUGGGGCGGGGGAUGGGGCCUGGGGCCUGGGCCAGGUAGGCGGGCGUGAGCCGGGGGCGAGCGGCGGUGCGGCCUGGUGGCCCCGACGUUAGCGGCGCAUGUGUUAAAACCAGGCACAGCAUUAAGGCAUGGUAGUGACAACACGUGUCUAGCACAACCCCUCCUGAAGGUGGCUCCCCAUGGACUCUGCAAGCCAUCUAUUCUCAACAUAUUGUACCAUCUUGGAGCUGAUCACACUGAGGAAGUGCACAGAACAAGGGCAGGAGCAGGUGCUGGAUCCCACAGAGACUUUUUCUACCCUCCUUUUCCACUCCAACCUUCCUUGGAACUUUGAGUGGAAUCAAAGGAGGAGGCACUGCAUGUGUAGCUGCCCAAAGUCUAGAUGUCACUGUUCUCUGCUGUCACCCAAAAGGAGUGAACAGCACCCAGACAGGAGAUGGCCCAAGGCUUACAUGUGUAUAACGUGCCACUGUCUCAGGGACUGACUCUCAGUGAACCCUGAUGUCUUGAUCCACUCAGCACACCACCAUUCAGUAUUGAAAACUGGGGUUGAGUGAGUCCCUUGUACAUGGCCAGGACCUGAAUCCGCAGGUGGUCAAGUCUCUCUGGGCUGCUAAGGUAAGAACUCACCUCAGCUUUGGUGCCUCUGGGGCUGAGAAUUCAGCCCUAGAAAAGUCCAGAGAGAAGUGG
Molecule: long non-coding RNA, 753 nt
Filed under: Cavia porcellus (domestic guinea pig)
Lineage: Eukaryota; Metazoa; Chordata; Mammalia; Rodentia; Caviidae
Description: lncRNA (ENSCPOG00000033059.1)
Source: RNAcentral